This is a long non-coding RNA of Saimiri boliviensis boliviensis (Bolivian squirrel monkey), 3898 nucleotides long. Lineage: Eukaryota; Metazoa; Chordata; Mammalia; Primates; Cebidae. The record is from Ensembl.
GGUGGGUCCUGUACAGGAAAGCUCAGUUUGGUGCCCUCAGCUGACACCGUCCCGGGGCCUGUCCCUGGGGAGCUUGGCAGCUGAGCAGGCCCCUCUCAGAACGUGGGACCUCUCCUAUGGAUGGAAGGUGACUGGACCUUGCACACCCAGCUGAGGUAAGAGGGAGGGUCCUGGGGGCAGGAUCUGGAGGAGGCUGGGUGGAGCAUUCCUGGUGCUGGCUUGCCUCCAUCCCUGGGUCUUAAAUGAUCUGGCCCAGAUUCUGUCCUGUUGCAGGGGGGAGGCCUGGGGCUUGGAAGCUGUUUUCUAGGUCUCCACGGGGGCUGCCAUGGGGGCCUCUGUCAACCUCUGGGGCUUCUCAGGAGCCGCUGGUCCCACUGAGCCUAACUUUUCUCAUCUGUAGGAUGGAUGUCACCUGUGUUCACCUCACAGCUGCUGUGCGGGGUGAGGGGGCGGGGGAGAGACACUGGUCGCAUUGAUGCAGCCCUUGCAGUUUGACUGGUCCUUCCAGACCAGUCUGACAGCUUCCUGGUUCCCCAGAAACUGGCCAAGCUGCAUUCCAGGACCUGGCGCUAGGGCGGAGGUCUCCGAGGGGGCAGUAGGGCUGCCCUGUCCUGGGAAGAUGGGCCGCCCAGGGCCCCCAGGGGAGAAGGUCUCUGGCAUCCAGCUGUCUGGUUUCCCCAACGUCCCUGGAGAUGUCCCUGGUGAUGUCAUCCCCGGCCCUGAAGACUCGGACCUGGUGCCCUCCGUGACCCUGGCUGCAGCCCUUGCCCUGCUGUUCCUCCUGCUCUCAGGCUGGCUGGUGUGGGACGAGCUGCUGCUAGUGUGGGCUCCAGGGGUUACCAGCAUUGAGAAGCCACUACGACCUUUGCCUUCCCUAAAUCCAGAGUCAUUUGGCCGAGAAGCUCUUCCCUGAGUCCUUGUCGGAGCAUUUGUCUUCAAAGGGAGGAGGAGAAUCUGUGAGUUUGUGUUCAAACGUCGGCCAGGCCACAGACUUUGGGAAAGUUCCAAACCUUCGCUGUGCCUCUGGGUUCCCGUGGGUUCCGCGGGCUCAUUCCUGUGGCCGCCUCCCAGGGGCAUGGGAUCUGUCUUGGGGACUUAGUGGAGGGUCCUGACCUGGAGACUCAGGCUGAACAGCCGGAGUGGGUGUGUGUCACCUUGGCUGCUGCCGCCGCCGGCCCUGACCACAGGUUCCUCCCGGUGCCUCUGCUCACUCCGAGGGGAGGCAUCCUCCAUGCGCUCCUGUGUGGGCUCCUCCUGAAAUGUACGCAGAAUGAGGGCAGGAAUGCUGCCCGUCUCAUUUGCUACUGUCUGUGUGGUAUGGUUUGUAUCUGUCUGUGUGAUAUGGUUUAAAUCUCACCUUGAAUUGUAAUCCCUGUGUGUCCAGGAGGGAAAAUGUGGCCUGUGGGGGUGGUUUUCCCCAUGUUGUUCUCCUGACAGUGGGUGAGUCUCAUGAGAUUGGAUGGUUUUUAAAGUGGCAGUUUUUCCUUUGCUCAUGCUCACUCUCUGUCCUGCCGCCCUGUGACGAAGGUGCCUGCUUUCCCUUCCACCAUGAUUGUAAGUUUCCUGAGGCCUUCCCAGCCCUGCCGAACUGUGAGUCAAUUCAAUUCAACCUUCUUUGUUUAUAAAUUGCCCAGUCUCAGGUAGUAUCUUUAUAGCAGUGUGAGAACAGACUAAUACAAUGUGCAGGGCUGAAGCAGCUCAAUAAAUAGUUGAUGGAUGGACGGAUGGAUGGAUGGAUGAAUGAAUGAAUGAAUUCACUAAUUACUGAUUCACUUGUUGAGUGUGGUAGAGCAUCAGAUCACAGACCUUAGAUCCUGGCUUCCAAGGCUUGAAUCUGUGAUGGGCUGGCUCCAUAAUUUUAAGUGAUUUAUGUAAUGGUCCCAUACCUCAGUUUCCUCAUCUGUAAAAUAAAGGCCAAUGAUUUCUGUUCUUAUCAGUACGGCCAGUUAAGAACCUAUACAAACCCUCCCACUAACAGCGGCUAGAAAUUCUGGAUAGAAUAAAAAAUGCCUGUCUUGUUCAUUAUUGUCUUGAGCUGACUAGGAAGUGUGGAGUACUCAGGCCAGGAUGGAGAAGAGAUGGGACCCAUAGAGGAAGGUGGAUACUGAAGCUGGCUUUGCUGGGACAUAUGGAAAGAAGUGGCCACCGCUCCAUCUCUGAAACAAAAAGCGGAACUUAUUGUUUGUUAAGCAAGGGAGAUCUAAACCUGUAAGGCUCAGACUCCUUGGACGAAGCAAAUUCCUGGCUUUGCAUAGAGUUUCAGGAAGAGUGGGGUUCAGGCACAGGAAGCUUUCAGACGUGGGAGAGCUUAGGGGUUGGCUGAUCUUUAACUGAGGGAGACUAGUUUUUGGAGAGGGGCUAUUGCUGGUGGGUUGAACAAAGAAAGUGGUCACUACUAGAUUGAGAUGGACUCAGUGCUGGUGUUUGACUCAGUUUGCUUGUUGCUGUGGCCAGAGAACAGCCUGUCUUCUUUUUGACGUUGGAGGAUUGAAAACUUUUUAUUUUCAUAGGCAAACCUGAGCCUCGUUUUUUGACUACCUUUGUGGCUAGAGGUCAGAAGACAAAGCACAGAGCCUGACCAUGCAGGAGAGUCUAGCAGAAGACCCUUCCUUCAAUGUGGGACACCAUGAGCUAUACCUCACUGUCAUGGAAAACAAAAAGAUCGAUUUCCCCAUUGGAUACUACAUCAACACUGCCUGUAGCGAACUUUGGUGCCAAGUGGAAGAGGAAAAGCAUUCUCUAAGAAUUAAUAGCUAUAACCUGACCUUCAUGUGUGUAUGUAGCCUGAAUCCAUAUUUCCUCAAUUAUCCAAAAUAAAGGAUUUUAGUUUAAAGGAGUCUCAUAUUGGAAGUACCUCAGUUGUUUGACAGAAGUAAAUACAAUUACUUUCUAAAGGACUCUGCCUUUACCUCAGGCCUCAGAAAAUUUCCAUAAAUUUCCACAGAAAACAAGCAGUUCAAAGUAAAAAAAAAAAAAAAAAUCACUAAAUAUACAAGGAAGCAAAACACCAUGAGUGAAAGUCAACAGAAACAAUAGGCAGUAGAAUCAGAUCAGCCAAAUAUUUAGAUACUAAAAAUAUCAGGACUGGAAAAUAAGUAUGUUUUAUGGAAGAAAUAAAAGAGGCUUGACUAUAUCAAUGAAGAACAAGUACCAAACCUACUCUUAGAAAUAAAAACAUGACAAUCAAAAUGCUAAACUCAAAAGAUAGUUUAACCACAGUUUAGACACAACCAAAGAAGGAAUUGAUGAACUGAAGGAUAAGACAAAAUAAAUUAAGAAAAUUGCACUCUUGAAAGGUUAAGAACUAGGAAAUCUAAAGAACAUGAGAACUAGAAUGCAAGUGUAAGCAUAUUGCAAGUGGAGUUCAAGAAAAUGAGAGAUAGAAUAGGGGUAGGGGCAAUAUUUGAAGAGGAUUAUGGCUGAAACUAUUUCAGAUAUUUAAGAAAGCCCAAUGACUCUCAAGCAAGCCAAAGAAAAAGGAUUCCACACCAGUCACAUCAGAAUAAAAAUGCAGAACACUGAAGAUCAAAAGAAGUCUUAUAAAAGAGCCCAGGAGAAAAUGUAGAUUAUCUUCAAAGAUAGUUAUGCCAAGAGCUUGCUCUUUAGGAGCAACAGUGGGAGUUAGGAAAUAGAGAAGUGAUAUCUUACAAAUGCUCAGAGCAAAUGAUUUCCAACCUAGAAUUCAAUAUCCAGUGAAAAAAUUAAAGAUGCAAAUGGUUGUCAACCUAGAAUUCAAUAUCCGGUGGAAAAUAUAGAGAUACAAAGGAUUACCGAAACUAGAAUUCAAUAUCCAGUGAAAAAAAUAAAGACACAAAGGAUUACCAACAUAGAAUUCAAUAUCCAGUGAAAAAUGUAAAGACAAUCAUAGGCAAAUAAAAAUAAAAAAGAUGCACCACAA